GUGGCUGCUGCUGCUGCUACUGCUGCCACGGGCAGGAUCUAAACCCAACACAUAAUUUCGAGUACCGAAAAAGAAAGCUACACUACGAAUCAAUGACUGUGUUCACACACACACACACAAAAUCGUUCCCCACAUACCUAAAAAAAGCUUCCUGCAUUCCAUUUAUUAGUAUACACGCACACAUACACAUACACACACACACACACAUACAC
RNAcentral lists this non-coding RNA (212 nucleotides) under Fragilariopsis kerguelensis. The record is from RNAcentral. Lineage: Eukaryota; Bacillariophyta; Bacillariophyceae; Bacillariales; Bacillariaceae.